AACGUGGGGAAACUCACGCUAAUACCGCAUACGUCCUACGGGAGAAAGCAGGGGAUCUUCGGACCUUGCGCUAUCGGAUGAGCCUAUGUCGGAUUAGCUAGUUGGUGAGGUAACGGCUCACCAAGGCGACGAUCCGUAGCUGGUCUGAGAGGAUGAUCAGCCACACUGGGACUGAGACACGGCCCAGACUCCUACGGGAGGCAGCAGUGGGGAAUAUUGGACAAUGGGGGAAACCCUGAUCCAGCCAUGCCGCGUGUGUGAAGAAGGCCUUCGGGUUGUAAAGCACUUUCAGCGAGGAAGAAGGCCUGAGGGCUAAUACCCUUCAGGAAGGACAUCACUCGCAGAAGAAGCACCGGCUAACUCCGUGCCAGCAGCCGCGGUAAUACGGAGGGUGCGAGCGUUAAUCGGAAUUACUGGGCGUAAAGCGCGCGUAGGUGGCUUGAUAAGCCGGUUGUGAAAGCCCCGGGCUCAACCUGGGAACGGCAUCCGGAACUGUCAGGCUAGAGUGCAGGAGAGGAAGGUAGAAUUCCCGGUGUAGCGGUGAAAUGCGUAGAGAUCGGGAGGAAUACCAGUGGCGAAGGCGGCCUUCUGGACUGACACUGACACUGAGGUGCGAAAGCGUGGGUAGCAAACAGGAUUAGAUACCCUGGUAGUCCACGCCGUAAACGAUGUCGACUAGCCGUUGGGUUCCUUGAGAACUUUGUGGCGCAGUUAACGCGAUAAGUCGACCGCCUGGGGAGUACGGCCGCAAGGUUAAAACUCAAAUGAAUUGACGGGGGCCCGCACAAGCGGUGGAGCAUGUGGUUUAAUUCGAUGCAACGCGAAGAACCUUACCUACCCUUGACAUCGUGCGAACUUGGUAGAGAUACCUUGGUGCCUUCGGGAACGCACAGACAGGUGCUGCAUGGCUGUCGUCAGCUCGUGUUGUGAAAUGUUGGGUUAAGUCCCGUAACGAGCGCAACCCUUGUCCCUAUUUGCCAGCGAUUCGGUCGGGAACUCUAGGGAGACUGCCGGUGACAAACCGGAGGAAGGUGGGGACGACGUCAAGUCAUCAUGGCCCUUACGGGUAGGGCUACACACGUGCUACAAUGGUCGGUACAAAGGGUUGCAAUACCGCGAGGUGGAGCUAAUCCCAUAAAGCCGGUCUCAGUCCGGAUCGGAGUCUGCAACUCGACUCCGUGAAGUCGGAAUCGCUAGUAAU
This 1201-nucleotide ribosomal RNA is filed under the name Bisbaumannia salifodinae. RNAcentral describes it as "bacterial SSU rRNA". It matches the Rfam family "Bacterial small subunit ribosomal RNA", at positions 145 to 1342 of the family's 1533-position model. The record is from RNAcentral. Lineage: Bacteria; Pseudomonadati; Pseudomonadota; Gammaproteobacteria; Oceanospirillales; Halomonadaceae.